UAAUGAAUUAAUAGUAUUCUAAUAAUGAUUCGAAAACACAACAUGCAUUUAAAGAAAUAUAUAAAGAUUUAAGCUAGCAUGAAGUUUUAAGUGGCAAUAAUAUAAGCAAAUUGAUAUUUCAAAUUUAAGUGAAGAGUCCUUAAUUAGCUUGUUAGGUGCUAGUUGCUAUUACUAAACACAAAGUUGCCUAGAGCAUGCAUGUUUCCCUUGUUCUUUGGUCCAACUAAGUAGAACAGUGUGGUUGUAUUUUCAUGAUUACACGUUCUGCAUCAGUUUUUAAGAAUAGCUCUCCUAGUAGGCUGCAUCAGCAUCAUCAUAAUUAUUAUUCAAACGCGUCCUAGAAGAACCCAAAUUUUUCUGACAUGGAUCAUAGGUGGAAGCACAUACAUAAAGUAGUUUAGUUAGCUGUAUGAGGAGGCAAUUUGUCAAGCCAUUAUUUAAUGUUACACUUACACUUAAACAUAAGUGGGAUGAUGACAAAGCAAGGGGUUUAUGUAUGUCAUGCCAUUAAUUUUAAGCAAAUGGAUCAUUU
Molecule: long non-coding RNA, 532 nt
Filed under: Arachis ipaensis
Lineage: Eukaryota; Viridiplantae; Streptophyta; Magnoliopsida; Fabales; Fabaceae
Description: long non-coding RNA (AIPA_LNC002336)
Source: RNAcentral